This 653-nucleotide transfer RNA is filed under the name uncultured cyanobacterium. RNAcentral describes it as "partial miscellaneous RNA". The stretch from base 236 to 308 matches the Rfam family "tRNA". The record is from RNAcentral. Lineage: Bacteria; Bacillati; Cyanobacteriota.
CAGGGAGACAAAAAAUGAUUAUUGAAGUCUGAUCUUUUUUCAGGCCAUAAUCCUGUCACCUUAGGUCGAUCGGUACCUCAGAUCAAAAUCUGCUAAAGGUUUUAAUUUCAGUUCCUAAACUUGUCUAGGUCACACCCAACAAACUUUCUCCUGGGCUAUUAGCUCAGGCGGUUAGAGCGCACCCCUGAUAAGGGUGAGGUCCCUGGUUCAAGUCCAGGAUGGCCCAUUCGUUGUUGGGGGUAUAGCUCAGUUGGUAGAGCGCCUGCUUUGCAAGCAGGAUGUCAGCGGUUCGAGUCCGCUUACCUCCACUGAUCAACUACCUGACAACUCUUUUGGAGAUUGUCCUUUGUUUAAGGUGACUUAGAUAUUGUUCAGCUGAAAAGAACCUAGCUUCCUAUCAUUCCUUAAAAACUUUGAGGUUGAUAAGACGCUGGGCUCACUGAUUAUUAAAAACAAUCAGUUUGAUUCAGUAGAACCUUGACAACUGCAUAGGAAAGUCUGAAAAAAAGCAUCUCAUAGAUGCAUAGAAGUUUUUCGUUUUUUAAUGAUUAGACUUUUAUGUUCAAUUCUUGAGUUAGAGCAAAUUUUCUAUUACUUAAUUCACUUAAGGUUAAGUGAUGACUAAUUAAUUUUAGAUAAGUUUAUAGAUUAAU